CAGUGUAUCCAGCACUAAAUGACUUUCAAUAUGAAAUUCCUUUCACUGUAUAGCAUGCCCCUGUUCAGCCACCAUCAACUUACUCAGUAUUUUUUAUUUUAAAGCAAUUAUGUCCUUAACAAGUGGAGUUUUUAUGACAGAAAUUAAUUCUAGGUACAUUGAAAACUGGAAUUUAAAAGAAGACUAGCAGACAAAAAAUUUAACUGAGGAAGACAAAAACCCCAAGAAGAAGAAGACUGGCUAGCAUUUGGCAAACUUCAGUUGAUUGUCCAGGAUCAGGUGGUCAGGAGUUGGCUCCAUCUUCAAGAAGAAUCACUUUUUCCAGCCAAGUCCCACUUCAAAAGAAGAUAUUGCUGCUGAGCAGCACAGCACCAUUUGCUUUUCCAUGUGAGAAGGACCAUCAGGUCCAUCAGACACAUUCCCAAAGUGACAGCAAGGCAUUCACAGCCACUGACAGGGAGUGGGAAGCAUUCACCAGUCCCAGGCUGGAAUACAGCUCUA
Molecule: non-coding RNA, 501 nt
Organism: Taeniopygia guttata (zebra finch)
Lineage: Eukaryota; Metazoa; Chordata; Aves; Passeriformes; Estrildidae
Source: RefSeq, a predicted model, not a curated record